UAACAUCCGGAUAAAAGCCUUUGGAAUGUA
Molecule: non-coding RNA, 30 nt
Filed under: Rattus norvegicus (Norway rat)
Lineage: Eukaryota; Metazoa; Chordata; Mammalia; Rodentia; Muridae
Source: RNAcentral